Molecule: RNase P RNA, 339 nt
Filed under: Heliobacteriaceae bacterium
Lineage: Bacteria; Bacillati; Bacillota; Clostridia; Eubacteriales; Heliobacteriaceae
Description: RNase P RNA component class A
Rfam family: Bacterial RNase P class A
About the family: Ribonuclease P (RNase P) is a ubiquitous endoribonuclease, found in archaea, bacteria and eukarya as well as chloroplasts and mitochondria.
Source: RNAcentral
UAAAGCAGCCGGACGGUCGCGCACAGCAGUGUGUGAGGAAAGUCCGUGCAUCUCAGGACAAAUCGCCGGAGAAACUCCGGACGGCGCAAGCCGGUGGAAAGUGCCACAGAAAUGAAUUCUGCCGAUGGAUUUUUAAAUCACAGGCGAUGGUGCAACGGUGAGUUAAGAGCUUCACCGGCGGCGUUGAGAGGCGCCGGCCAGGUAAACCCCGAUUGGAUGCAAGGUUUGAAGGUUAAGGUGUCCGCCGUCUUCAAAAAACCGCUAGAAGCUGUGAGUAAUCACAGUUCCAGACAGAUGACCGUUUAGAAACAGAACACGGCUUACGAGCUGCUUUAUUUU